RNAcentral lists this non-coding RNA (57 nucleotides) under Alexandrium minutum. Lineage: Eukaryota; Dinophyceae; Gonyaulacales; Pyrocystaceae. The record is from RNAcentral.
CUCGCGCGAGGACUUCACCGCGAGGAGCGAGGCGGCGGAGAACGCGAAGAAGGCCAG